This is an RNA transcript of Solanum pennellii, 792 nucleotides long. RefSeq lists it as uncharacterized. Lineage: Eukaryota; Viridiplantae; Streptophyta; Magnoliopsida; Solanales; Solanaceae. The transcript has 3 exons. The record is from RefSeq and is a predicted model, not a curated record.
AAAAAAAUAUAUAUUCUAAGUGCAUCAUCUUCGUGAUUUUCUUUUUCUCUUUAAAAAUAAGGGACUGCAAUUGGAAGGAAAUCAGAGAGAAAGAUGGAUCCUCGUCAUUCACACACACAGUUACUGAAUAGCUGGCGUGGUGCCAAAUUUAUUUGGCGUACUGUUCUCAUCUUCAAUCUUGGCCUCGGUGCUUACCUCUUUACAAGACCUGCUAAGAAGGAAAAAAAAGCUAUGACUAGACAACCCAUUACUCCAGCUGAGAUUACCACUCCCACCCCACCCGCUCCUCAAAAUUUUGAACCUUUCUUUUUCCCUAUUCCAGAACCUGUGAAGGUGCCAGAGCCCCUUUCUGUAAAGCAGCAACGCAGUGUUUUUGGAUGGAUGCUAAAAGAGAAAGAGGAUGGUCUAACCUCAAAACCGAGAGGAGAAGAUUAUCAAUGAAGAAAAUGCUCUACUGAAGCAGUUCAUACGAGCAGAUUCCACCCUGAAAAUCUCAUUUAUAUAAGGGCUCAACGCUCUGUCCUUUGAUUACUGCCGAAAAUUUGUUCUUCCGGAUGAGAAUGAAAUAAAGUCAAUACGACUUUGUGUAUCAUAGUCAAGGUGCAUUUUAUCGAUCAUAGCAUGUAUCGGAUGAUAAAUAAAUAUAGUAGUAGUUGAUUUGAGUAUAUUCUUGACAAAAGGCAGCCAUGUUUUGCUGAUUUCAGAUUGAUUCAUGGUCCCUUUUCUACAGAUUUGGACAGAGUAGUUUUGACAAAGUGUAGUUGAUUCUUGCUAUCCAUUCAAUAUUCAGUA